This is a non-coding RNA of Marmota flaviventris (yellow-bellied marmot), 936 nucleotides long. NCBI's taxonomy places the organism in Eukaryota, Metazoa, Chordata, Mammalia, Rodentia, Sciuridae. The record is from the annotation of a RefSeq genome assembly.
GUUUCAGAAUACCACAUCAUCUAGGUUUAGGCCAUAUAGAGGCUGAUUAAAUGAGAAGCCAGAAAAAGCAACCUGUUGGCAUGUUGAUAAGAGGCUUUAUUCAUGAAUUUUUUUUAUAUAGUUCAAUUUGAAAAAGAAUGGAAUCUGUAUAAUUUGGGAAUUAUAUGUACCUACUGGUGACUGUUUCAUAGGAAGCCAACAUAUGAGUUUGUGUGAGGGGGAAAAGCAGGGCCAUGAGACCUGUAGGAGUAGCGGUGUAUUAUAUAGGUAGCCUGUUUCCUGUUCUGGUGGAGCAGCAGCUCAGAGCAUGUAGUUCCUCCCUCACCCUGUCAGGCUCCCCUUCCAGUGUAAACCCUGGAGUCAAAGAAGAAUUCCUUCAGAAGGAAGAAGGCAAACAUGGUGCUGCCCAGGCUGCUGAAGCUGCUUAUGGUGUCCAUGUGGCUGGGAUCCAGUUUUGCCCAGAAGGUGACUCAGGCCCAGCCAGCCAUUUGGGUGCAGGAGAAGGAGGCUGUGAGCCUGCUCUGCUCCUAUGACACCAGUGAUACAAAUUAUGAUCUCCUCUGGUACAAGAAGCCCAGCAGUGGGGAGAUGGUCUUCCUCAUCCGUCAGAACUCUUACAGCCAGCAAAAUGCCACAGAAGGUCGCUACUCACUAAAUUUGCAGAAGGCAAGCAAAUCCAUCCAGCUUGUCAUCUCAGCCUCUCAGCUGGGGGACUCAGCGGUGUAUUUCUGUGCACUGAGAGAGGGCACAGUGGGAGGACUGUUGGAGGAAGGUGCACAAAAACCCAGGGUCUGCCUGAGUCACCCACCUGCUGGAGGGACCAAGGCAGGAAGUGGCAGGGCUGUGUCAGCUCAUGUUUGGGGUUAGAGGAAAACACUCACUCUAAAGAAACCCUUUCUAGGUUCAUAGAUCACAUCACAUUUAUCACUAAUCAAA